AUUACAUGGUCGGAUAAUAUAUAUCGAGCAAAUUAGUCAUUUAGUAAGCUAAUACACACAUCUAGGCAAAUGGAUAUAUAAUUUCUAGAACAUAGUAUUCAACAGUACAUAAUAUACAUCCAGAUGAUAUACAUUUAGCAAAUUAGCCAUUUAACAACUGAAAAUAUAUUUUCAAAUAAAUUGAUAUAUAGUUGUUGAAAUAUCAUAUUCAUUAGUACAUACU
This 223-nucleotide long non-coding RNA is filed under the name Elaeis guineensis (African oil palm). RNAcentral's name for it is "long non-coding RNA (EGUI_LNC073793)". The record is from RNAcentral. Lineage: Eukaryota; Viridiplantae; Streptophyta; Magnoliopsida; Arecales; Arecaceae.